RNAcentral lists this long non-coding RNA (5237 nucleotides) under Sus scrofa (pig). RNAcentral's name for it is "lncRNA (ENSSSCG00005005120.1)". Lineage: Eukaryota; Metazoa; Chordata; Mammalia; Artiodactyla; Suidae. The record is from RNAcentral.
UAUGCUUCUGGCUACAAACUGGAGGUUCCAACCACUCCUCCCUGGGAUUAAUUUGCUAGAAGGGCUCACAGAAUUCAGGAAGACCCAUUUACUCACUAGAUUAUUGAUUUAUUAGAAAAGGUUAUUGAAGGGUAGGAAUCAACAACCAGAUGAAGAGAUAUGUAGGGCAAGGUCCUGAACAAGGUCCCAGCACAAGGGCACAGAAACAUUCUGGUCCCCUGACAAGGAAACUCUGAAAAAGAACCCAAAAUCUGUCUUGUGGGGUUUUACGGGGGUUGCAUUACAGUCAUGACUGACAAAGUCAUUGGUCAAUGGUGACCGACCAUCAGCCUCCAGCCUCACUCCUGUCUGGGAAAUCAAGGGGGUGAGACUGAAAGUUACAGAUCUCUUAACAGCCUGAUUGUUUCCCCUGGCAACCUGCCCCCAACCUUCUGUGCUUCCAAAAGUCACCUAAUUCAAAUAACAAAAGACAACUCCAUCACUCUCAACACUUAGGAAAUUCCAAGGGUUUGGGGAGCUGUGGGCCAGGAGCAGUGGCUGGAUGAAGACCAAAUAUCAAUGAGAAAUAUAAUUUGUAUAUUGGUCAUCUGAAUGGCCAAACAUAAAUUUCCCACAAAUCACCCUAUCGCCCCAUCCUUCCCUGGAUGAGUUAGUGAUGAUGGUUCACACUGUCACUAACUGUCACUGUCACUAAGUGGAGUGGCUAGAGCACAGACCUCAAGGUCCCACUCCCUGGGUUGGGGCCCUGGUUCCCCUCCUCCUGGUCCCUGGGAUCUUAGGCCAUUUUCUGGACCUCCCCAGCCUCAGUGACCUGGUCCCUCCGGUGGACAUGGUACGGGCUCACGGGGUCAUGGCCGGAGCAAAGGUGAAGGCGCUCUAAUUGUCCUUCGAUGUCAUAAUCACUGCUAGUUGCAGAGUGUGUAUGUACCAGCCAGCCCAAGUCCCUCAGAGCAGUAAUUUUUUUUUUCCUGUCUUUUUAGGGCCACACCAAUGGCAUAUGGAGGAGCGGCCCAAGAAAUAGCAAAAAAAGACAAAAAAAAAAAGAAUCUGAAGAAGAAUCUAUAUAUCUAUUUACAUAUAGAUGCAUAGAUACAUAAUUGAAUCUCUUUGCUGUAUACCUAAAAAUUAACACAACAUUGUAAACCAACUCUACUUCAAUUUUUAAAAAAGGCCUGUGGGAGGUCAGGGAAGGGCUCUUGAAGGAGGAAUUCUAAGCCUGGUUCUGAAGGAGUCAGACAGAUGCAGGAAUGAGAAAUGCAGAGGAAUAGAGGUGAAUUCCAGAAACUUUAAGUGUGCUGUUCUUUUUGGCCCCCAAGACAUGUGCAGAAGUGACCAAGGAUGAGGCUGGACCCAGAGACGGUAAAGAACCAGGUAACAACGGCCUGGCCGCCAUGAUGUGCAGUCUGGAUGUUGCCACAGAGGCAGUAGAAAGCUCUUGAAGGGACUUAUGGGAGGGAACAGCGUUUGGAAAUGAUCCAGUUUGCAGAUUACUUUGGCGGCCAAUGUUGAGUAUGAAUGAGAGGUGGACUCUGGGAGGAAAGAUGGCUGAGAAAUUGUUGAUGCUUGAGUAGGGGAAAGCACCUUAUAACAGGUUCCUCAGGACAGCAGCAAGAUCCUCUUCUGACACAGGUAGGAAUCUGCCUGACUCUGUCCUGCUUAUGGACUAUGUGUAUAGAACACCACAGCCCCCAAGCAGGAGUUCAAGAUAGGUGUGUGGGGUCUGUGGAUCUGCCUUUGUCUCUAAGAUCUGCAUGGGGAACCAAGGUCUUCAGCUUCCUAGAGACAUAUUGCAGCUCCCCUGGGGCAAAAGGUACUGGCUGGAAUCCCAGAGGGGAAAUAGAAACAAAGGCUUCAGAAGGGUUCCCUCUUAAAGCCCACCUAAAUGGCUUCAGAGAUGCCCACAGAAGGCAUGCUACCCAAACUCUCGACCCCACGUAGGUCGGAAAUGCCAUAAAGCAGGUUUUAUUCUUCAGGAAGAAACCCUGCAGAGUUCUCAACCACCCAUCCUUCCUGGCAUCAGGGAAAAGGGGUAGGAGGCUGACACCCCUCCUCUCCUGUCUGAGAACCCAGUGCACCAGAGCCUGGAAGUGGAGAGCAGGAUGGGGUGCUGAGCAAGUUUGCACGGCAGAGGGAGGAUGGAGACAGGAGGGCAGAGAAGGGAGAUGUUUCUCAUUGCACGAAUAUGCCAGGCCUCAGCUGGGACACCCUCCUUGGGUCAGAACACCAUCCUGACUCACCCAGGGCCACAAUGUAGAGAAGAGACUAUGCUUGAAGUCAGGCAGAAUGACCAGAGUGGCUAGAGAAUCCAAUCGGGGUCUUGGUCUCCAGUCUUCUAACUUCUCUGGUAGAAGAAGAAAUGGGAGCUCAGAAACUCCAAAGGGGACAGUAGGCUCCACCUCACUGUAAGUGCAGCAUCUGGGCAGUGCUGGGCUGUGAGAAUCCUGCCACCCCAUGUACCUGACAGGCACUGCCAGUUGAGGAUGCACUUCCCACUGAAGCGAGGCUGGGCUGGUCUUCCCCACCCUUCCCUGCACCCCACACCCAGGUGCUCUGACAAGGGGGGACCUGUUGGGUCUUGUCACCCACUGAGGAAGACUGCCUGGUUCCUGGGAGAUGGCACAGAGCAGAGUUAGGAUGCUCCCCUUUCAGAGCCUUGGUUUCCUCAUUAGUAGAAAGGGGACGUGAAGAACCACCAUGCCUUCUUCAGGGAACUGCUGCAACGGGCCAGUAUCCUGCAGGUGCUCAGGAAGAUGAGGAAAAGGCCUCUACCAUGGACUUUCCCCUUUUUUAACACCCUUUGAAAUGCAUCAUCACAAAGAUAUGUUUGGUUGCUUAUAUGGAAGUGUUUUCCCCCUGCAGACAGCUUUGAUUUAAAAAAACAAAAAAACAAAAAACAGUGAGAGACAAACAUCGUCUAAUAUCAUGUAUAUGUGGACUCUUAAAAAAAGGAUACCAAUGAACUUAUCUGCAGAACAGAAACAGAAACAGACUCAGACUUUGAAAAAUUUAUGGUCACCAAAGGGGAGAGGUUGAGGGAGGGAUGGACUGGGGGCAUGGGAAUGACACAUGCACACUGAGGUGUAUGGAAUGACUAGCCAAUGGGGACCUAGCAGAGGGAACUCUACCCAAUAUUCUCUGAUAAUCUACAUGUAUGACUGAGUCACUUUGUUGUACAGCAGAAAUUACCACAAUGUUGUAAAUCAACUAUCCCUCAAUAAAACUUUAAAAAAUGAAAAAAAAAUUUAAAUAAAAAUUAAAAAAAAAACAAGCUGGAGAGUUUAAACAACCAAGCUGAGUUGGAAUUCUUGGCAUCUAGCAGCAGCUACCCACUCGGGGAGGAGAAGCUGGUUCUCUAACUUAUUUAUUCCACCCACGAUUAAUCACCUGUCAUUGAAAAAUGAUUCUAAGAGGAAAAAAUGUACAGCUGCAUUACUAAUCAAAGGAUGUGUGUGUGUGUGUGUGUGUGUGUGUGUGUGUCACAUUUUAUCUUAUUAAUUAGGCAGAGGUUAUCCGAAAGAAACUUUCCCAAAGCCACUGAGGACCCACUGGGCACACACCGAUGAGGGCAGACCUCCCCCUCACUUCUCUGCUGUGCAUUUGGCCCUGCACCCAGAAUCUUGGAAAUGUUCCUCUAAGAGUCUGUUCUGAGAAAAUACCUGAAAUAUCGACCAAGAUUUCAAUUUUAAAAGGUCCAUAAUAGCUGUAUUUACAGUGAGGAGAAUAUAGAACUGUUUAAGCAUUCAUCAUUAGGGGAAUGUUAGGAGAAUUACAAUGCAGACUUGCAAUUAGAUAUUCUGCAGCAAUAAAAUGGUGUUGCAGAAAGUUUUUAAUAAGUUGGGGAAAUGCUUGUGAUAUAAUGUGACAUGAAAAAUGUGAAAAUACACAAUGUAAUGCAGGCACACUAAAAGGCACAGAGAAGAUGGGUAGCCCAUCCACUUAUCAAUAGUGAUACUCGGGCCGAGGCCACUGAGAGAAGCUCCCAAGUACUCAGGGACACUCUUCUGAGAUGCCUUUCCCUGUGGGAUGUGGCUCUUCUGUGUGACCUUCUGUGGUCUCACCCUCAGGAUGGGUCCUUCACCCUGCUGUCUACUUCCUGUCAAAGGGCCACACGGUCUCUGGCAGUCUGCACACCAUGCAUCUCCCCGCUCCUCUGCAAGGAUGCCUGCAACAUACACCACAGCUCACGGCAACACUGGAUCCUUAACCCAGUGAGCAAGGCCAUCCUCCUGGAUACUAGUCAGGUUCUUAAGCUGCUGAGCCACAAUGGGAAUACCACAUUUUUUUUUAAUGGCCACACCCAGGGCAUAUGGAAGUUCCCUGGCCAGGGGUUGAAUCCCAGCUGCAGCUAUGACAACACCAGAUCCUUUAACCCACUGCACCAGGCUGGGGAUUGAACUUGUGCCUCCACAGCAACCAGAGCCACUCCAAUCAGAUUCUUAAUCCACUGCACCAUGGCGGGAAUUCCAGAGCUUCUUCACAGACAGUAAUAGGUAGGAAUCAAGGAAUCACUGUUUUCUGAUGUUCCCCUCCUAUCAUGUACUUUUCCAAGUCUCUUACCAAAAAUACAUAAUCGGGGGAAAGGCAGUAUAAAUUAUAUGAACUUCAUCCAAGAAGCAGCAUUGCUGCAACUGCAGGGUAUUUUAGCAUCUGCCCUCCUGCCAAAUCCCUGGGUGUUUCCCUGGUGAAGACCAUGUACCUAGGAGGGGUCUGGAGAACCAGAGGAACAGUGCUGAGUAUCACCCAAACUAUACUCAAGGCACACAGAAGUGACAGAGACCCACACCCAGCCCCAGCCACACUGCUCGGAAAACACAACUUCCAUGUGCGGAAGCUACCUUGGAGGGCAGGUGAGAUGGGAGGGCGGCCAGCUGCUUGGAGGCGAGAGGUUGUACAGCCCAGCUGCUCACUGAGUGGAUGGGCAGACCAAGGAGAGGUGGCCAGGGGCCUGUUGGACACAACAGUGCCCUGAAGGUGAACCAUGACGGUUCAUGAGCAUCACUGCCUACUAGGCAUUACUCAGUCACUCAUUUAAUGCUCUCAGAAGUCCUUUGAAGUUGGGUUAUUAUGCUCCUUUCACUUUAGGAAACUGAGACAGAGACACAUGAGGAAACUCACCCAGAUCGCUUAGAAUAAUGUAGCAAAACCAGAAUUUGAACCCAGGCUUUAGCCCAUGCACUUAGUCACUGCACGGUGUUUUAGAAAUGGGUGAUUCCGAUAUGGGAGCACUCCAAUGAGUU